CCUUGAAUAACAAAGACACUCCUCUUGCUGUGAAAAUUGCACGUUUAGGGAUUACCUCCCAGGAGCCCAAAGGGCAGAUCUCUCUUUAGGUGAGGCCUUCUUACUACGCACUGUGGUGGUGCAGUUCGACUGGAUGAAACAGCCCUGCCAUGACUCACACAUCCCAAUGAGGACUCCUGCCUUAUAAGGAGGCACUUUGAAGGCUAUUAUUCCAAGGAGCCUGUCACCUCUCAAAGCAUUUUUAGAACUCCUGCUUUGAAUCAGUGCCAGUGUCAGGAUGGUGAAUCCUCACACCUCCUGGGAACAAUUAUUUUUGGAAACAAUGGAAGUCAUGGUGGCCAAGUUUGGAAAGUAUUCUUGGGGCUAGAGGUGGUGCUGCGCAGAGGAGGACCUUCAGGCUUUCAAGUGCUUGGACUUGGCCCAGCUCUGGGUGAGUGGCCCGCAUAGCCGUGCUGGACAUCACCACCAGGGGCUGGAGCCGCUUACCCAGAGAAGAUCCCCUCUCUCUGCCUGUCCCCUUUUGUUCGCCUGGGCACAGCCUGAGGCCGUGAGAUGGGAGAGUGUCAAGGGGCAAGAGACCACCCCUCCCCGCGGCUGGCCUCCCCCUCAGGCUGUGAUGAAGGAGCCGGAAUACCCUCAACAAGCCGGCAGCAAUGGCAACAGGCACACGACCACGAGGACCGAAAACUCCCCCGCCACUGUGAUUGCAACAACCACACGGUACGAUCACACAACGAACAACAGCAAUGAGUUGCUGGAGCAACCACACCAUCUGUACAACCAUGCAACGCCCACACACCACAGCGCCCUGCAGCAAUCACUGCGUCCGUGGCCAGUGAGCCAAUAUGUACCAUGCUCUGACUUAAGAGCGGGAAGGGAGGUGUGCGAAGCCUCCUGCCACAGAUCCGCGGAGGCCCAGGAGGCUGGAGAGCCUCUCGGGCCUCUGGGCGGGAAUGGGUUGGCAGGAAGUUG
Long non-coding RNA from Callorhinus ursinus (northern fur seal), 972 nucleotides. RefSeq lists it as uncharacterized. Lineage: Eukaryota; Metazoa; Chordata; Mammalia; Carnivora; Otariidae. The record is from RefSeq and is a predicted model, not a curated record.